AAAUUGAAGAGUUUGAUCAUGGCUCAGAUUGAACGCUGGCGGCAGGCCUAACACAUGCAAGUCGAGCGGAAACGACAUUAUUGA
Molecule: ribosomal RNA, 84 nt
Filed under: Vibrio splendidus
Lineage: Bacteria; Pseudomonadati; Pseudomonadota; Gammaproteobacteria; Vibrionales; Vibrionaceae
Description: partial 16S ribosomal RNA
Rfam family: Bacterial small subunit ribosomal RNA
Source: RNAcentral